Molecule: non-coding RNA, 154 nt
Filed under: Pongo abelii (Sumatran orangutan)
Lineage: Eukaryota; Metazoa; Chordata; Mammalia; Primates; Hominidae
Source: RNAcentral
UCAAAGUCAUGCCAGUUACACUUUCUCAUGAUGUCAUAUUACACUUAGGCUUUGGUCAUUUAUUUAUUUUUUAUUUUUUUAUUUUUUUUUGAGACAGAGUCUCCCUCUGUCGCUCAGGCUGGAGUGCAAAGCGACACGCCAUCUUCAAAAAAAA